This 430-nucleotide ribosomal RNA is filed under the name Pseudomonadota bacterium. RNAcentral describes it as "Proteobacteria bacterium partial 16S ribosomal RNA". It matches the Rfam family "Bacterial small subunit ribosomal RNA", at positions 355 to 776 of the family's 1533-position model. Lineage: Bacteria; Pseudomonadati; Pseudomonadota. The record is from RNAcentral.
UGGGGAAUAUUGGACAAUGGGGGGAACCCUGAUCCAGCCAUGCCGCGUGUGUGAAGAAGGCCUUAUGGUUGUAAAGCACUUUAAGCGAGGAGGAGGGUACUGGUAUUAAUACUACCAGGUACUGGACGUUACUCGCAGAAUAAGCACCGGCUAACUCUGUGCCAGCAGCCGCGGUAAUACAGAGGGUGCGAGCGUUAAUCGGAUUUACUGGGCGUAAAGCGUGCGUAGGCGGCUAAUUGAGUCGGAUGUGAAAUCCCCGAGCUUAACUUGGGAAUUGCAUUCGAUACUGGUUAGCUAGAGUGUGGGAGAGGAUGGUAGAAUUCCAGGUGUAGCGGUGAAGUGCGUAGAGAUCUGGAGGAAUACCGAUGGCGAAGGCAGCCAUCUGGCCUAACACUGACGCUGAGGUACGAAAGCAUGGGGAGCAAACAGG